CGGGAGACAAAGUUUACAUGUUAAGGAUGUGGCUUCUUUUUCGUGUCUACAAUGCUCCAACAUAAACUGUUCGUUUAAAUCUUCUUUUUCAAUUUAUUGUAUUGCCAAAGAUGGUUGUCUACUGCACAAUAACU
This 134-nucleotide small nucleolar RNA is filed under the name Drosophila yakuba. RNAcentral's name for it is "snoRNA:GE27003". The record is from RNAcentral. Lineage: Eukaryota; Metazoa; Arthropoda; Insecta; Diptera; Drosophilidae.